UACGGAGGGUGCAAGCGUUAAUCGGAUUUAUUGGGCGUAAAGAGCACGUAGGCGGAGUGGGAAGUUAGAUGUGAAAUCCCGAGGCUCAACCUCGGACCCGCAUCUAAAACUCCCAUUCUAGAGGAUGGAUGGAGAAAAGGGAAUUCCACGUGUAGCGGUGAAAUGCGUAGAUAUGUGGAAGAACACCGGUGGCGAAGGCGCUUUUCUAAUUUAUUCCUGACGCUGAGGUGCGAAAGCAAGGGGAGCAAACAGG
RNAcentral lists this ribosomal RNA (253 nucleotides) under uncultured bacterium. RNAcentral describes it as "partial 16S ribosomal RNA". It matches the Rfam family "Bacterial small subunit ribosomal RNA", at positions 524 to 776 of the family's 1533-position model. The record is from RNAcentral.